This 497-nucleotide ribosomal RNA is filed under the name uncultured bacterium. RNAcentral's name for it is "partial 16S ribosomal RNA". It matches the Rfam family "Bacterial small subunit ribosomal RNA", at positions 28 to 507 of the family's 1533-position model. The record is from RNAcentral.
GAUGAACGCUGGCGGCGUGCCUAAUACAUGCAAGUCGAGCGAACAGACGAGGAGCUUGCUCCUCUGACGUUAGCGGCGGACGGGUGAGUAACACGUGGAUAACCUACCUAUAAGACUGGGAUAACUUCGGGAAACCGGAGCUAAUACCGGAUAACAUGUUGAACCGCAUGGUUCAACAGUGAAAGACGGUCUUGCUGUCACUUAUAGAUGGAUCCGCGCCGCAUUAGCUAGUUGGUAAGGUAACGGCUUACCAAGGCAACGAUGCGCAGCCGACCUGAGAGGGUGAUCGGCCACACUGGAACUGAGACACGGUCCAGACUCCUACGGGAGGCAGCAGUAGGGAAUCUUCCGCAAUGGGCGAAAGCCUGACGGAGCAACGCCGCGUGAGUGAUGAAGGUCUUCGGAUCGUAAAACUCUGUUAUUAGGGAAGAACAAAUGUGUAAGUAACUAUGCACGUCUUGACGGUACCUAAUCAGAAAGCCACGGCUAACUACGUG